GGUCAUAGCUCAGUGGUAAAGAAUCUGCCUUGCAUGCAGGAGGUCCCAGGUUCAGUCUCUGCCAUCUCCA
RNAcentral lists this transfer RNA (70 nucleotides) under Podarcis lilfordi (Lilford's wall lizard). RNAcentral's name for it is "tRNA.Ala". Lineage: Eukaryota; Metazoa; Chordata; Lepidosauria; Squamata; Lacertidae. The record is from RNAcentral.